CCUGACCCCAUGCCGAACUCAGAAGUGAAACGCCGUAGCGCCGAUGGUAGUGUGGGGUCUCCCCAUGCGAGAGUAGGGAACUGCCAGGUA
Molecule: ribosomal RNA, 90 nt
Filed under: Escherichia coli BCE030_MS-09
Lineage: Bacteria; Pseudomonadati; Pseudomonadota; Gammaproteobacteria; Enterobacterales; Enterobacteriaceae
Source: RNAcentral